UACAGAGGGGGCAAGCGUUGUUCGGAAUUACUGGGCGUAAAGGGCGCGUAGGCGGCCUGCUAAGUCGAACGUGAAAUCCCCGGGCUCAACCCGGGAACUGCGUCCGAUACUGGCAGGCUUGAAUCCGGGAGAGGGAUGCGGAAUUCCAGGUGUAGCGGUGAAAUGCGUAGAUAUUCGCAAGAACACCAGUGGCGAAGGCGGCUGACUGGUCCGGUUCUGACGCUGAGGUGCGAAAGCGUGGGGAGCAAACAGG
Molecule: ribosomal RNA, 253 nt
Filed under: uncultured bacterium
Lineage: Bacteria
Description: partial 16S ribosomal RNA
Rfam family: Bacterial small subunit ribosomal RNA
Source: RNAcentral